Vicia faba (fava bean) is the source of this 411-nucleotide non-coding RNA. The record is from the annotation of a GenBank genome assembly. Lineage: Eukaryota; Viridiplantae; Streptophyta; Magnoliopsida; Fabales; Fabaceae.
UUUUUUAAAAUUUUUUCUUUUUAUUCUAAUGCAUUUCAUUUCCAAAAAUAUAUCUCCCUCACGUUGAGAAAUGAAAAUCUAUUUUUUCAUGUGAACUAUUAUAAUCUAUCACCUGGAAAGGGGCUAAUGAAAAGUCACAAAAUUAUCUUAAAUCUCUCUUUCUCUUCGACCAACAGAACCUUCCACCGUUAUCCCUGUAAAUCAGAGGUUCUAUCCCAAGCAACCUCCAAUUUCUCUUUUUUUUUUCAGAUCAUCGAUCUCUAUGUUGAUCUGCGGUUUUCACCGCUCUCCUUCAGGUGUAGUGAUUCUGUUUCAGUUCUUCUCCUUCUUAUUCACGUCGCCUCUGUUUUCCGAUUUCACCGAUCAUUUCCUAACUCCGUUUUUAGAUUUCAAUCAAUUUUGGAUUCUUGA